RNAcentral lists this ribosomal RNA (253 nucleotides) under uncultured prokaryote. RNAcentral's name for it is "partial 16S ribosomal RNA". It matches the Rfam family "Bacterial small subunit ribosomal RNA", at positions 524 to 776 of the family's 1533-position model. The record is from RNAcentral.
GACGAACCGUGCAAACGUUGUUCGGAAUCACUGGGCUUAAAGGGCGCGUAGGCGGGUCUCCCAGUCUGUGGUGAAAUCCUCCAGCUUAACUGGAGAAGUGCCGUGGAUACUGGAGACCUCGAGGAGGGUAGGGGCAUCUGGAACGGUCGGUGGAGCGGUGAAAUGCGUUGAUAUCGACCGGAACUCCGGUGGCGAAGGCGAGGUGCUGGGCCCUUUCUGACGCUGAGGCGCGAAAGCCAGGGGAGCAAACGGG